Molecule: long non-coding RNA, 748 nt
Organism: Cottoperca gobio
Lineage: Eukaryota; Metazoa; Chordata; Actinopteri; Perciformes; Bovichtidae
Exons: 3
Source: RefSeq, a predicted model, not a curated record
AUGUGAUACCUUGUGAACGGAAGAGUAUUCGUCUUUUCUUUAUGCUGAUGCAGGUUUAUUUUUGUUGUCGAAGUGAACAGACGCCAGCCUCCAGAGGAUCAGGAGUCCGGGAGGCGAGCCAGCAGCGACGGCUAACAGAAAGGCAUUUGUUUCUCAUUUUGGCCUCGCGGAGAAGCUUCAAUGACCGCGACUCUCUUUUCUCCGGUUACACAGCUCAGUCCUGUUUUUGUUUCGUGCCAGAGAGAUGAAUGCUUUGAGCUCUAACACACACAAAAACUCAAAACCCAGGAGUUAACCGUUCCUUAAGAGUGGGGAGAAGCAGGGGGAGGGAGGCACUGAGACUUGGAUGAGUUGGGAGGUCUGUCACAUUGACUGAAAGCUUACGGUUUACGGCUGAAGCCUUUCCAGCCCAUCUUGGAUGUGCCAAGUGUAAUUCUUGGACUUUGUUUGGUCUGCAGAGAUUUAUUAAAGAAAAAAGGGAAAAAGGAAAAAUCUGAUUUGUGCAGCGACUGAUAGUUCUGGUUGCUGGCAGGCAGAACGUGAGAUUCUUUUCCUUCAUCGCUGGGACGCUCUUCAGUCUCCAGUCCUUUGGCGAUGAAUGUGUGCUAAUCCCAGGGCAGGCUAAUGAGGACAACACAUCAGAGCUGCGAGACUGCAGUAAUGAUGGAACAGAGCUGGACAUGAAGGGAAGCCACAGAAGAAGGACACAUAAAGGAUAUCAAAGAUUAGAGACGUUAAAGUGGCGAAG